CAUUUAUAUUAUGGGUAUAUGAUCUUCAGCUGUAAAUUGUUUUCAAAUUUUUUGUAAUAAGAAUGAAGUUUGUCCGUUAGUUUUUUUCCAUAUCUGAAUUAAUCAGUGUUGGCCGCGUACUAGUUGUCAUAUAUAAAUUUUAGUACUUCUUAUGAUGACAAUACAGCAGUUUACUCAAGGAAUGGAGACGCAUGGAUUCACUUAUCUCACACGUGGGAAAGUAUCAACAUCCUACAUUAAUGGACUGGAGGAGGUCGAGAAUAUUGCAGCUUUAAUGCAGUCUACGUAUAAUAGUUACUCAAAAAGGCAGUACGGCAGAUCACUCAAGUCACGCUGAUACAUGAAUUCACAUUUCUCACGCGUGGGAUAGUAUCAACAGCCUACGUUGCAAAUGGACUAGAAGAUGCUGAGAAUAAUUCGUGUUAUAUGCAAUAUGGCAGUACGGCAGUUCACUUAAGGAAUUCUGACGCAUGGAUUCACUUAUCUCACACGUGGGAAAGUAUCAACAUCCUAUGUUGCAAAUGGACUAGAAGAUGCUGAGAAUAAUACGUGUUAUAUGCAAUAUGGCACUACGGCAGAUCACACAAGGCAUGCUGAGACAUGGAUUCACAUUUCUCACACGUGGGAAAGUAUCAACAUCCUAUGUUAAUAAUGGACUUGAAGAUGUUGAAAAUAAUAAUGCAAUAUGACAAUACAGCAGUUUACUCAAGGAAUGGAGACGCAUGGAUUCACUUAUCUCACACGUGGGAAAGUAUCAACAUCCUACAUUAAUGGACUGGAGGAGGUCGAGAAUAUUGCAGCUUUAAUGCAGUCUACGUAUAAUAGUUACUCAAAAAGGCAGUACGGCAGAUCACUCAAGUCACGCUGAUACAUGAAUUCACAUUUCUCACGCGUGGGAUAGUAUCAACAGCCUACGUUGCAAAUGGACUAGAAGAUGCUGAGAAUAAUUCGUGUUAUAUGCAAUAUGGCAGUACGGCAGUUCACUUAAGGAAUUCUGACGCAUGGAUUCACUUAUCUCACACGUGGGAAAGUAUCAACAUCCUAUGUUGCAAAUGGACUAGAAGAUGCUGAGAAUAAUACGUGUUAUAUGCAAUAUGGCACUACGGCAGAUCACACAAGGCAUGCUGAGACAUGGAUUCACAUUUCUCACACGUGGGAAAGUAUCAACAUCCUAUGUUAAUAAUGGACUUGAAGAUGUUGAAAAUAAUAAUGCAAUAUGACAAUACAGCAGUUUACUCAAGGAAUGGAGACGCAUGGAUUCACUUAUCUCACACGUGGGAAAGUAUCAACAUCCUACAUUAAUGGACUGGAGGAGGUCGAGAAUAUUGCAGCUUUAAUGCAGUCUACGUAUAAUAGUUACUCAAAAAGGCAGUACGGCAGAUCACUCAAGUCACGCUGAUACAUGAAUUCACAUUUCUCACGCGUGGGAUAGUAUCAACAGCCUACGUUGCAAAUGGACUAGAAGAUGCUGAGAAUAAUUCGUGUUAUAUGCAAUAUGGCAGUACGGCAGUUCACUUAAGGAAUUCUGACGCAUGGAUUCACUUAUCUCACACGUGGGAAAGUAUCAACAUCCUAUGUUGCAAAUGGACUAGAAGAUGCUGAGAAUAAUACGUGUUAUAUGCAAUAAGGCAGUACGGCAGAUCACUCAAGUUACGCUGAUACAUGAAUUCACAUUUCUCACGCGUGGGAUAGUAUCAAAAGCCUACGUUGCAAAUGGACUAGAAGAUGCUGAGAAUAAUACGUGUUAUAUGCAAUAUGGCAGUACGGCAGUUCACUUAAGGAAUUCUGACGCAUGGAUUCACUUAUCUCACACGUGGGAAAGUAUCAACAUCCUAUGUUGCAAAUGGACUAGAAGAUGCUGAGAAUAAUACGUGUUAUAUGCAAUAAGGCAGUACGGCAGAUCACUCAAGUUACGCUGAUACAUGAAUUCACAUUUCUCACGCGUGGGAUAGUAUCAAAAGCCUACGUUGCAAAUGGACUAGAAGAUGCUGAGAAUAAUACGUGUUAUAUGCAAUAUGGCAGUACGGCAGUUCACUUAAGGAAUUCUGACGCAUGGAUUCACUUAUCUCACACGUGGGAAAGUAUCAACAUCCUAUGUUGCAAAUGGACUAGAAGAUGCUGAGAAUAAUACGUGUUAUAUGCAAUAAGGCAGUACGGCAGAUCACUCAAGUUACGCUGAUACAUGAAUUCACAUUUCUCACGCGUGGGAUAGUAUCAAAAGCCUACGUUGCAAAUGGACUAGAAGAUGCUGAGAAUAAUACGUGUUAUAUGCAAUAUGGCAGUACGGCAGUUCACUUAAGGAAUUCUGACGCAUGGAUUCACUUAUCUCACACGUGGGAAAGUAUCAACAUCCUAUGUUGCAAAUGGACUAGAAGAUGCUGAGAAUAAUACGUGUUAUAUGCAAUAAGGCAGUACGGCAGAUCACUCAAGUCACGCUGAUACAUGAAUUCACAUUUCUCACGCGUGGGAUAGUAUCAACAUCCUAUGUUGCAAAUGGACUAGAAGAUGCUGAGAAUAAUACGUGUUAUAUGCAAUAUGGCACUACGGCAGAUCACACAAGGCAUGCUGAGACAUGGAUUCACAUUUCUCACACGUGGGAAAGUAUCAACAUCCUAUGUUAAUAAUGGACUUGAAGAUGUUGAAAAUAAUAAUGCAAUAUGACAAUACAGCAGUUUACUCAAGGAAUGGAGACGCAUGGAUUCACUUAUCUCACACGUGGGAAAGUAUCAACAUCCUACAUUAAUGGACUGGAGGA
Molecule: long non-coding RNA, 2755 nt
Filed under: Rhopalosiphum maidis (corn leaf aphid)
Lineage: Eukaryota; Metazoa; Arthropoda; Insecta; Hemiptera; Aphididae
Description: uncharacterized LOC113556396, transcript variant X5
Source: RNAcentral